Non-coding RNA from Mirounga angustirostris (Northern elephant seal), 73 nucleotides. The record is from the annotation of a RefSeq genome assembly. NCBI's taxonomy places the organism in Eukaryota, Metazoa, Chordata, Mammalia, Carnivora, Phocidae.
ACCUAGCUGGCUCAGUUGGUAGAGCAUGCGACUCUUAAUCGUGAGGUCAUGAGUUCAAGCCCCAUGCUGGGUG